GCUGGCGGCGUGCUUACACAUGCAAGUCGAACGGAAAGGCCCUGCUUUUGUGGGGUGCUCGAGUGGCGAACGGGUGAGUAACACGUGAGUAACCUGCCCUUGACUUUGGGAUAACUUCAGGAAACUGGGGCUAAUACCGGAUAGGAGCUCCUGCUGCAUGGUGGGGGUUGGAAAGUUUCGGCGGUUGGGGAUGGACUCGCGGCUUAUCAGCUUGUUGGUGGGGUAGUGGCUUACCAAGGCUUUGACGGGUAGCCGGCCUGAGAGGGUGACCGGCCACAUUGGGACUGAGAUACGGCCCAGACUCCUACGGGAGGCAGCAGUGGGGAGUAUUGCACAAUGGGCGGAAGCCUGAUGCAGCAACGCCGCGUGCGGGAUGACGGCCAUCGGGUUGUAAACCGCUUUCGCCUGUGACGAAGCGUGAGUGACGGUAAUGGGUAAAGAAGCACCGGCUAACUACGUGCCAGCAGCCGCGGUGAUACGUAGGGUGCGAGCGUUGUCCGGAUUUAUUGGGCGUAAAGGGCUCGUAGGUGGUUGAUCGCGUCGGAAGUGUAAUCUUGGGGCUUAACCCUGAGCGUGCUUUCGAUACGGGUUGACUUGAGGAAGGUAGGGGAGAAUGGAAUUCCUGGUGGAGCGGUGGAAUGCGCAGAUAUCAGGAGGAACACCAGUGGCGAAGGCGGUUCUCUGGGCCUUUCCUGACGCUGAGGAGCGAAAGCGUGGGGAGCGAACAGGCUUAGAUACCCUGGUAGUCCACGCUGUAACGG
This 761-nucleotide ribosomal RNA is filed under the name uncultured bacterium. RNAcentral describes it as "bacterial SSU rRNA". It matches the Rfam family "Bacterial small subunit ribosomal RNA", at positions 35 to 808 of the family's 1533-position model. The record is from RNAcentral.